UUAUGCCAGUUUAGUUAUUAAGGACAGACUUCUACCCCAGGUAGUUAGUCUUACUUAGGGUGAUAUUUACUAUAGAGAGAGUGGAGGAUAACUAAGAAGACCACUUGGAGUUUGUAAUAAGAAAAUACAACUUGAUCCUAGACAACAGGUCCAGCUGAAACUUCAGAAAGAAUACUUAUUCCUGUGCAUAGAUUCUCCAGAUGAAUCAAGACUGACAUCCACGGCAAAUAACAAUUUCCGGUCUAAAAAUGGGGAAAAAAGAGAGAUUGCUCCAAGGAAAAUUUCCAACAACUGACAGUGACAAGUCGACUGGAAGAUUUGAAAGAGUAAGCGUGACUUCCUCUGAUGAUACAUUGAAAAAUCACCUAGUACAUCACAGCUGAAGAGUACGCCGUGCAGUUUUUAAACUUCUUUUUUUAAUGCUACCAUUGCUGAACUGAAAAAUCACUGUACAGUUUUAUUAUGUUAUGGUAAUAUUAGUAGGCUAAUUUAAUUGAAACCGUCACCUUAGCCACUUCAUUUUACCUUCAUUUUAAUUAUUUGCUCUAGCAAGGUAUUACUGUAGUUGAAAGAGUGAAAGAAUGUAAAAUUUCUAUAAGCAUUCAUUCCAAAUCAAGACCUGUAUUGAUUUGAUAAUAUUCACAAGCUUUUUUUUAUGUUCCAUGUGUACUUGAAUUAAUAAGUUUUACUUGUGCUCACUAGAGCACUUUUUAUGCCUGAAUACUCAAAUAUUCAUUGGAAGUGAAUUUUGAAGUAUACUUUCCCCAUUUCUAGCUGCAAUUUGUUUUUUAUUGAUUAGUUACAUAAAUAAUGAGUAAAAACUGAGUAAGGGCUUCAGGGUGUCAACCAUAUUAGAUGGCAGCACUGAAAUAGAAUAUUACAUUCCUGUAUUAUGUUGAUGUUUCCAUUCUGAAACACUGGUAUUUCAGAAUACCAAAAUAGCUGAAAUACAGUUUUAUGUUUGCUUUUACUACUGUAAGUCAAUAACAUAAUGAGGUGCUUUUUAUAGAAUGUUAUGAAUAAAAACUUCUGAUAGUGACAGGAAACCAGAAAGAGAUGAAUUAAACUAAGGAUGACUGAAGAUCAGAGUGGGUGAUCUUCCUGCAGUAUAUUUCUUGUAGCUUGUUAUAGCUGUACUGUGUGCAUCAUGUGAGAGAAGAUUAUGGAGAAGACGUCUCAGUUUUAACUGCCUAUUUUAAGAGGGAAUAACUAGACCAUCAACUUGAUUCCAGACUAAUAUAUUAUAUACAAAGACUUGCCUCAGAUAUUAUGUUAAUAUUCUUGCAAGUUCACUGAAUACCACUUUAACAAUAUCAAUAUAAUUACCCUAUGUAAUAAUUGGAACAAGUGGGUUUGAUCCAUUAUAGUUAAGGCCCAUGUAACUUUGUAAAAAUCAGAGUAAAAAAACCCAAACAAACCUCUGCCUGCAAAAUUCACAUAUAUUUGAUUGUUUACAUUGAUGUGGGAAACUAUAGCAAUAAUAAUUGAGAUUUAAUGGGUGCAAAUAAAUAUCUAAAUGCCAUAGGAUCUACCACAUACAGGAAAAAUGUGUGUUAUUAAUGAAGAUGUGACCUUGUAUUUUCACAGUGUCUGAUUAAGUACACUGUGUUGGCUGCUCAUCACAUUGUUUGAAUGGGAUUCACUUCUUCCUCCUAUGGAACUUAUGGCCACUAUAGUCACAGUUCACCGACAAGUGAUGAUUUCAAGCUUACUAUUUCACAGGUUAGAGCAGCACCUGUAUAGUAGUAAAUGUCACUGGAAUACGUGUGAAAUGGGCUUCAGGCUCAAUAAGUGAUAACUGUCUCCCUGAUGCUCCCUAUUUCUCACUAUCAGUGCUACUGAAGGUGGCUGCUGCUAUGAGCCUGUUUGACUUGGGUAGAUAACAAAUAGCAAAUACUGAUUAAAAAAUACUUCAUAAACAAGCCAUGGAUGUAAUUUGAUACCACAAACUAUUAAGUGAACAACUUGAAAUAAUGAAAAAAAAAUCAUGAAUAAUCACAAUCUCUCUACAUCUAAUUUACUAACAACAAGAAUAAAGGGACUGUAUUCAGUGAAAAAAUAAUUAACAAUGAAUAAUUUGGAUGACUCUUCUAUUCAUUUUCUUCCACUGCUUUAUUGUUCCCUGUCAAACUCAUGCAUAUCCCUUUUUUCCUCCAUACAACUUUCAUCCUUGAUGGAUAGAGUUUGUGAUUUGGCAGCCAUCUCCAGCCAAUGACAGUAUGAGAUCACUUAUGGAAGCUACUGUGGCUACCUGACUAGCUGGGGACUAGGUCAUUUUAGUCAUCCACAGCAUUUGAUUCACAGCUUUUGAAAGACUUAAGAAUAAAAAAGGGGAACUGAAAAUCAAAUAUAUUCUAUGGCAUGCAUUCUCUUAAGAGGAUAAUUAGCUAUUUCAUUAGAACACCAGAUUUAGAUGCAGACCAAAAACAAAGUAUGAAUCAAAACAUACCUAGAACUAGUCUAUAGUUUAGGCUAAGGAUGGGCAAAGUCUGGCCUGCAGGCCAGAUACGGUCAGCAGAGGACUCCAUUUCCCAGCUGCUCCUGUGCAUGGUUGGGGCUGCUCAAGGCAUGGGGACCAGCCCCUGCUGUGCUGCCAGGGCAUGUGGCAGAACAGGGCAGGGAGCUGCUCCAGAGCCACUGGGAUCUUGUGAUGGGGGCAGCUUGCUCUGGAUCCAGGGCACAGCCAUGAUCUGUAGCCUGCAUGCUCUGAGCAGAGGCACUCAGGCAGGGGAUCACAGCUCUGCCCUGGGUCCUUGCAGUGGUGACAGCCUGAUCUGGAGCAAGGGCAGGGCCUCAAUCUCCUGCCUACAUGCCCCUGCCCAGAACAUAACAGGCUAUAGAUCACAGCUCUGCACUGGAUCCAGAGCAAGCUGCCCCCAUCAUAAGAUCCCAGCAGCUCUGGAACAGCCCCCUGCCCUCCGCUGCCGCACACCCUGCCAGCCUGGCUGGGGCUGGUCUCCAAGGCAAUCCCAGCCUUAAGCUUUCACAGUGCAGCUGGGACUGGGGUCUCCAUGGAGACUGGCACCAGCCUUGCAGGCAGGGGCUGCUGGGAAAUGGAGUCUGGCCAGAUCAGCCAUUUUGUUGUCAUGUCCCACCCCCUGCCCCCCAGUUUAGGUUAAUUUAAGAUAAAUGAACCAGAAUUCCAAUCAGAAAGAUGCCCCAAAUCUGAAACACUUGAGUUUGUAUACCCAUAUGUGGACAUAAGAUUGACAGCACGGUAUCAUCUCUAACUGUAAGUAAGGCCCUGCUGCUCGUUACAUAUAUUAUGCAAUUAACGGGUGAAUCGCACAAUAAAUUUAGACUAGCCACCCAUGCAAAGUAAUUAUCACACCAUAAAAAGGAUUAUCUAGAUAUAAAAGAGCCAACUAGAUAUAAAGUUAGUGAUUGACAAUGUGUAAUAACUCCAGAGCUGGUUUCUAUCCAGUUUUAAUUUGAAUGUGUGGCAGUGCUCUAAGCUCCUUAGCUAUAACUGGUCUCCAGUUUAAGUUAUACUUUUCUCUUCUUGUAAAAUGGCCUGAGCCUUUGUUGGAAACGGGAGCAUAGAAAUCAAAUAAAAGAGUAAAUAAAUAAAUAUGUAAUAUGUAAUAAACUUUUGGCCGCUGAUUUUUCAAAAUCCAAAACCUUACAUUAUGAAAAGAGUUAUAAAAUGUUUGGUAUUCACCAAAUAUAUUAAGAUGAAGAAGACGAAAAAAAUAUGAAUUGCUUGCUAAUCUUAAAAUAACCCAAAAUUUAAAUUUUAAUUAACAAAAAGCAUAUCAAAUAAAGGUAGCAAUGGACAUAGAAAACACAGGGUAGUAUCUACAGUUUCCUGCUGCACAAUAUGGAUCUAGUGGUAAUUUAUGGUGAUUAGACAAGUAAUCUCACAGGCAACACCUUACAUUUUCUGUAUACACCUUUGUGAUUUCUUUUACAGUUCUUUAAACAUAAAGGUUGAACAGGGCACAAUUAUUUUGCCUUCAACUUAUUCAUGUAAUGCAAGUGACAAGUUCCAGCAGAUAGAGUAGACAUCAGUGUCACUUGCUUUGUUUAAAAUAGUGGAAAUUUUGACCUGUAUUCCCAUGAAAACUGCCUUAUCCAUUCAUCUUGAUAAGAAAUGUACUAUUUCUCUGCUUAUGUUUUACUCUAACAAGAAGGCAGAGCUAUUCCAGUGUUGCCUAAUAUUUAUUUUUCUUAUAGAAUUAAAGUUGGAUCCUUGUAAGGGCACAGGAUGGGGAUGGACUGUUGAUGAGUUCUACCUGAAUUAAUGUAUAGGACAAGUCUUUAAAACAACUUCAUUCAUAGUUUAUUUUAUGUUGCCUUAUUUAACAGUACCCAGACAUAUACUAGAUGUUCUACAGAAAGCUACAAGACAAAGUUAUUUCCACACAUACUUUAUAGUCUAACUUUAGAGGCAACACAAGAGGUAGUGGUGGGGAACAAACAAUUGUUGGGAGUUGAGGAGGAAGAAAAAAGUUACACACUAAUAAGGUCACAUAAAGCAAGGUUAUCUCUAAGCCCUCCUCAGUCACAUGUAGUAAGAACCCCUCCUCCUUCUGCUCUCCAGCAAAAAUAAAGGCAGUGAAAACUGAAGCUCUGAAAGUGCCUCACCUUUGAGAACUACAGUCUGCAUUGCUCAUAGUUUGCUGAAGAGGGGAAGGAGUUCUUACAUAGUGGUGUAUUACAAAAAAAUGCUCCCUGGCUCUCACAAAAAUCAAGCUGGCUACCUUUCCUUCUUUUUACUUUCCAACUUGCCGAGAGUAGCUAGUUGGGUACACAACUGUGAGUAAGCUGUAUCCCACAAAAAAAGGGACAAGUUAUUUUACUUGUGACUAUCGUUCCCAGUAAACAAGCAGGUACAUGGAGUGAGGGGAGGGAAAUGGACCAUGUCUUUUUGCAGCAGGAUGCAUUCAUAGAGGAGGCCCUAAUGAGGGUAGCACUGUUAUGUCCUGCCACUUAUACUCAGGUAGAAGCCUAAUGGUUCAGUGUACAACUGGUUUGUCUUCUGACAUCCCUUUUGUGUCACAGAUCAAAGAGAAAGCAAAAGGGACUAAAGCAGGAGUGGGCAAAGUCAAACCCAUGGGCUGAAUUGGGCUUGUGAUGGACUCCAUUUCCCAGCUGGCCCUGCCCAUGUCUUUCCAGCUGGUUUCCAUGGAGACUCCAGGAGUGGUGGGGCUGUGACAGCGUGGGGCUGGGGUUUCCAUGGAUAUUGGCCCGAGCAGCACUGACUGGGUGGGGAGCUGCUUCGGGGCUGGGAUCUUGUCCUGGUGACAGAUCAUGCUGGAGCCUGGGCAGAGUACUCUGCUGCAAGAUCCCAGCCCGAGCCCUGGAACAUCUCCCCACUCAGUAGCCAUGCACCCUGCCAGUACUGCUUGGGUCAGUGUUCAUGGAAACCCCAGCCUUGCCCUGCCACUCCUGGGGUUUCCAUGGAAACUGUUUGGCAUGACAUGGACAGGGGCUGCUGGGAAAUGAAGUUUGGCUGCCCACCCCUGGAUAAAGCUUACCUGUACUCCUAAAGCCAUGCUGCCACUACACUUCCCACUACUUGACUUGUUGUCCCUUCAGCAACCACAAAAGGUGCUGCUUUUCCAGCUGUCCUUGCAACUAAAUGGAUGUAUCUACAAGUGCAUGUUACAGUGCAGUAGACUAAUUUGCUGUUCAGUAAAACAUCACUGUCUACUCAUGCACAGCAAGGGGUAGAUGUAGACUAAUUUACAGUGCUGUCAGAUAAUCCCAUUAGACACAGGUACUAUCUACCUGAAGAGUAAAUUCAUGCACUUAAAUACAUGUGUAGAUGGUGAUGUCGGGAUUAGUUUACUUUGGCUCAAAUUGCACUGUAGUUUAUUCAGUCACAUUAAUUGCAUGUAUAGACAUUCCCAAUGGAUGCCAUUUAGGCAUAUCCUGCUCUUGUUCAACCACAUGGAGAGGAGGAAGGGGAACCUUACCUUGUCCAAUAUCCUCUUGGUUCAUUGCUUAAAUUAUUAUGCUUCAAAUUAUUACUAACCUCUAAGCCUGAUUUGUAAUAUUAAAUAUUAAGAAUUUUAAAAAUCCUUCACUUCAAGCUAUAAUUUCUCAUUUAAGUCAAAGCCUCCUAAUAUCCUCUGUGAGUGUACUUUGUGAAUGUCCUAUACUGCAGAGACUGUAAGGGGCACUUGAGGACUGCUUCAGACUGCAAGAGCUAUGUAGGUGGCAAUAGUAUAAAUGAGAGUCAGGUCCUUAACAUCUGAUCUGGAAUCAUAAUCACAAAAUAUGAGAAAUAUUAUUUGAAAGAAGUAGGUGCCAGACUGAAUGUUAUUAAAUAUGAACUAAUAACAAAAUUACUCUUGUAUAGCUCUUUUCCUCAGAAAACCUCAAAGUCUUUUACAAAGAGGCUCCUCUUAUUGUUCCCAUUUUUCAGAUGGAUAAAUGUGAGGUACAGACAGUGGAAAUGAUGUACUCAGGUGGCGCAUCUACACAUGCAUUUGAUCUGAUAUCAGUUUACUCGCAAGUAAACUACUAACAAGUAAACACACCCAGGCAGAUGUCUACAUAUGCUGGGAAAUGGAAGCAGAUUUACUGCUAAUGGCAGCAAACUGCUCCCACUUUCUGGGGCCCUACAAUGGAUCCCUGCCACCACCAGGAGGGUGCUAGGCAAGGAGCUGGUAGGGAGCACCAGGCCAAGAGACAGCUGUCUCCUGGCCAGGGCUGGGAGAUUACAUCCUGCUUCUGGGGCUUGCUGCUGCUGGGGUGAGGACAAUGUCCCCCUGCCCCAGAAGCAGGGAGCUCCUGGUCCUGGAUCCUAGAUAAGGGGCAGGGGUCUUGGAAAGAGCUGCAUGGGAGGGGCAGAUCCCAGUUCCCUGCCCCAAUCUACUGGUGAGGUAGCUAGCAGCUAGCUCACUGCUAGCUGCUCCACUGGCAUCUCAGGACAGGGAGCUGGGACCUACUCCACCCCUGCAUCUCUUUUGAAGUUGUGUGCCUUGAUUGCCUGAUCAGGGCAUGGGGCUGGGACCUGCCUCUGUCCAGGACAGUUCCCAGUCUCUACUCCAUGAUUAUGGGGCAGAAACUGAGAAGUCUGUUCCCUGCUCAGUUUCAUGAGUGUGGAGUUGGGCAGGGAACAGGCUGGGGAGCUUGUAUAAGCAAGUACUUAAUGACUGCACAGUGACCCAAGUUACUGUGCAGUAGUGCCGUCAAAUGGCUUUUUUGUGAUGCUAUUUUGCAGUAGCCCCCAGACUGCUGUGUAGUAAUGUUGCGUCAUGGGAUAUGCCAUGCGACGCUACUGCGCAGUAGUCUCAGGCUACUGUACAGUCAAUGUCUUGUGUAGAUGUGGCCACUAGGUUUAUUUUUUUUGGUACAAGAUAGACUUUUUGUGUUUGGUAGAAUUUCUCCAUCAGUUAUUGUAGUGGUCUUAUUUUAUAUUACAUAGUUUGAGUAUGAGAUUUAUUUUACUUUUUAAUGGAUGCAUCUACAUGAGACGUUUACUGCAGUUGCCUAAUUAGCUCCACAGUAAAGUCUCGGCAUCUACACAUGUGGCCCUAUUAGGUCACAGUAAACUAAUUUACUGUGUCAUAGGUAGGUACUUGUAAACAUAAGUACUAUCCUAUGGUGGCAUUCGUUAGUGCACAGAAAUGCACAUGUAGACACUGAUGGAGUUGUUUGGGGCACAAGGGUGUUUCAGUGCAGGGGCUGCCUGCUGGCUAGCCCCACCCUCGAGCACUCUUGUACCCCAGCCAGUGCCUCUGCAUCAUGUUGAAGUUGGUUGGAGCACCCUCCAGCUGGCAGGCUGACCCCCAGGGCCCCUCCCAGCCAGGGCUCCUACAACACACCUCAACAUGGUGAGGUCCUAGGCGCACCUUCAAACAUGGCGCCCAGGAAUAAUAAACUCCAGCACGAUAUUUGCCAGAGUUUACUGCAUCACAAUUUCAUGUGUAUAUGUACCCAGUAAUUAACAGAUAAAAUCUGUUAUAAUAAUGCAUUUAUAUAUCAUUGCCAAAUAAAAGGUAACCACCAGAUGGUACAUUUUAUGUUAAGCUGAACAGCACAUUAUAUUAUGCCUUUGUUCCUGUGUUUAGUAAGAUGAAAAUUUAUUCUAGAGCUACAUUGUUCCUUAUAUUAUGGGGUUGGUGAAGCUGAUGAUUUUUUUUUACAUGGAAUAUCGAGCAUCAACCAUAAACAUGGUGAAAAUUAACAUCUUAGGGCUCAGUUGUAGUGUAUGGUUAUGAAACAGCAGUAGAUUUGCUCUUGUUACUAAAACAUCAAUUCCUACUAUGAGGAUUUUUUUAUAAAUCCACAAUAUUGAGGAUUUUUAAAAUAUUUUUUUUAUAUUGAUAAGAAUAGCAUAGAGUUAGGCUGGAAUUACAUUUUGUUAUUCUGUCUUACUUUGUUAUUUUAUUGUGUUUUAUAAGGCGGAGGGUGGGGGGGGUCUGUGAUCUUUUGUUGUAAGCAGCCCUUGGACUUUUAGGGAAGAGGUGGCAUAUAAACCAAACACAUAAAAACAUAAAGGAGCAAGAGUAGUUAUAGAACUUAACUUCUCUUGAAGUGCUGUUCCUGUCUUUGGAUGAAACUGUUUCCAACUGAAGUUAGUGGGAGUUUUGCCAUUGCUAUCAAUAGGGCCAGGAUUCCACCCCCUCCCCGCUGCCAUAUUAAUAGUAUCUCAACCUUUUACUAACACUGUCAUAUUUGCCAGCAUUUCUACAGUAUUUGGCUUCAAAGUUUUGCUAAAUAUUAACAUUUUGUAUGCUGAAUCAGAGGGAACACUGAAGAGAAUGUGGUAUAUUAACAACAUAUUUGAUUCGUUCUGGUGGAAACAUGCUUAAAACAUAAUUAGCUUGUGUUUAAUGGAGGGAAAAAUUAAGAAUAUCUGUUAAAUACCUUACAUAAGAACAAGACUGAAACAAAAUGCAGUUUAAGAGGACUGAAAUUUGUAAGCAAUUGGAAUAAGUAUGAAAGUAAUACAUUUAAAAAUUAUUUGGGAAUCAAAAUUAGAGGGUUUUUGAAAUGAGGUAGUUUGUCUCUUGCUUUUUUAAUUUCUUCCUUCAAAGCUCAUAUAUCCUAUUGCCAGUUUUUGACAUCUAUUAUAUCUCUGUUACCAUCAUGGGAUUUUUCCUUUUGGAAUUCUGGGGAGAAACAUUUUUCCUCCAUAACUGAUUUAAGCUGCACCAAUCUGGAGUGUGGCAUUAAAAAUCUGACAUUGUUCUUUAGGCAAUGACCUAUGUCUUUAAAAUGAAGAAUAUACAUUAAAUUUUAAUGGCUUCAUUUACUUGGAUAUUAUUGUUGACUUUGUAAUUCCCUCUUCAAAAACACAAUGCUAGCUAAUGAUAACAAUCUUUGUUAGGAAAAAUCCCAUCUCUUUCACACAUGAUGGCAGAUUCACCAUCUUGCCAUUGCUGGAUUUAGUCUAAUGUCAAUAUUUCUACAAAGCUGAACACUGCCUGUGAAUGCUGUAUUUCCUCCCUUGUCAUCAUUCUGUGUAAGGCACAUUAUUAUUUCCUUUCUGUUUUCAGCUCCAAAUAACAUAUAUACUGAAAGGUUAAGAAAUAAACAGCUAAACUGCCUAACCAUUUCA
Long non-coding RNA from Alligator mississippiensis (American alligator), 9517 nucleotides. RefSeq lists it as uncharacterized. The record is from RefSeq and is a predicted model, not a curated record. NCBI's taxonomy places the organism in Eukaryota, Metazoa, Chordata, Crocodylia, Alligatoridae. The transcript is spliced from 2 exons.